GAAUUACUCCCUCCGUCCGGAAAUACUUGUCGAAGAAAUGCUUAAAAAUAAAUGUAUCUAGAACUAAAAUACAUCUAAUUACAUCCAUUACUCCGACGAGUAUUUCCGGACGGAGGGAGUACCUC
Triticum aestivum (bread wheat) is the source of this 125-nucleotide non-coding RNA. The record is from Rfam. Lineage: Eukaryota; Viridiplantae; Streptophyta; Magnoliopsida; Poales; Poaceae.